This 3701-nucleotide long non-coding RNA is filed under the name Schizosaccharomyces pombe (fission yeast). The record is from RNAcentral. Lineage: Eukaryota; Fungi; Ascomycota; Schizosaccharomycetes; Schizosaccharomycetales; Schizosaccharomycetaceae.
UGUUUGCUAAGUUUUAAGAAAGAAUCGGCAAGACCAGCUCCCCUUUCAGUACGCUUGUAUAAAAUCAAUUGACGACCAAACUCGUCGUUCUUACUCAGAGAUAACCCAACAAUUACCAAAUCAGAAUUUUGCACUUCGGCAAAACUUUUCAAUUCAUCUUCCCAUCCGAGACGUUUUUUCUUGAUCCAAUCUAAUCCCUUUCCAACACUGGCAUAAUUGACGACUAUUCCGUCCGGAAAAUACUGUUUUAAAUCCCUGCGUAGUAGAUCAUCAAAAGAAAAACCCUUACAGCUCUUCUUUUUCUCUUUCAGAGUAUCAAAAAACUCAUCUCGAACCCAAUCUUUUGGCACAAAUGAGCAUAAGUCAUUUACUAUUUUAACAUCGGUAUCAGUAGUCUUUUCAUUUUUUAAAUUUCCAGUAUCAAUUAAAAUAGGGCCAAGUGCCAAAACAGCAAGGUUGGUUGCUGUUUGGUGAAGUUCAGAUACUUUGGAAUCAUAUAGAGAUCUAAUGACAGGCAUAAAAUAUCGGCAAACUAAAGUACAGCAGCUACCGCAUUCCUCAAUGAUUCUUGGAUCAGCAUGUAAGGAUCCCCCUUCAUCUUUGUGGUGAUCUAUAAUACCAGCGAUACUGCCGUUGAAAUUUUCUAGGUCUUUACGGUCCAAAGAAUUGUGAUCAACUAAAUAAAUAGGAUUACUGAAUAUUCUUUUUGGUAAUUUUACAAUAUCAUCUAAAAAGACAAUAUCAUCGGAAGAUAUUGAUGCUAAGUUCAACAAAUAAGACAGUUCAGGCCUAAGACGUAGCUCCUUUCGAGGAAUGUUAAAAAAAGGUACUACAAUCCUACCCAGCUGUUUUCUUUGCAGGCAAUACGCAUAUACGAUUGAACUAGCGCAACUGUCAAGAUCUAAGACGAAUUGUUAAUUCUCGUCUAUUACGACUAAUGUACCUGCUGAUUCAUUUCCACUAACAAAGCUAAAAGACGGGGCAGACGAUACAGUCGAAGCAUUUAAGAGGAGAUUUCGUAUUUGCUCCCUUCCGUUUUCUAAAAAUCUGCCUAAUUUCAUUGUACCAAAAGAUUGAAAAGGUUACUUCAGGCUUUAGGUGCAAGCCAAUAUAUCUAAUCUAUUACUACCAAAGUAACAAGUUACUCAAUAUAGCAAGGAAUUUGACUGAUACACUUAAAUCAAUUAUGAGUAUUUUCAUAAGGAAUUGAAUAAAGGUGAUAAAAACAAUAAUAAAUGAGAGAAGAUGAAAAGAAAUUAAAUCGGUCGAAAACAUUACGCUCCCAUGAGAUUUCCGAAUUAAAUGAGUAAUACUCUAAAUCAAAACUGGCCGAUUAGUAGUCAUAAGUGAAUUUGUAUUCGUCAUUGUGAAUACUAGAACUAUCGAUAGAAUGGAGAAUUUUAUAGAGAAGCUGCUUGGUUCAUAACUUGCAACAAAAUUUUUGGAUUCUUAGAAUUCAUUCAGGUUAGUAAAUUGUUAAACCAAAAUGUAAAAUUCCAAAGAAUAUGACGGUAACUCGAGCACAAAAGCAGAUAACCAAAAUACCUGUCAAGAAAAGAACUAAAAUAGAUUACAAAAAACGACGAAACAAAUGUUUAAGCCGCUUCCUGCUGUUCCGGAGUACGUUCAAAUUUUUCCAAUAAAGUCCGGUCUCCUGCAUAUCCGCAUUUAGAUGCCAUCAUGUCAUAAAAAUAGGACAAAUCAAUACGAACGCCUGGCCAUUUGGAUGGAUUUCUUGCAAUAUCCGUAAGUUCCAACUGCAGUCUAUCUUCGAACAUCCGAAUUACAUCUGGUAUUACUUCUACACAGUCACGUUGUGAGUAGCGAUGUAAAACUUUGUAGAGCUUUAUAAGACUUUUUGAAAGAUCAAUAAUGUAUCCAUGAGGACUGUCAAUAUCCCACGAAAGAGAAGCAAUCUGGGAACAACUGAUAGCAACUCGUUCCCUCAUGAGACUAACAAACUUAUCAUGAAUUUGUAAGUGAUGAACGGUGAAAUCUUGAUCCAACUUAUUAGUUUCAUUGGUGAGUCGAGUUCCUGUUACUCUUGACAAGUACCUGCACAUUGAAUUAAGGGAUAAUUGAAACAAUGCGAUAGUUUGAGAGGCAAGUGCAAUAUGCUUCCCAAGUACUUUACUAAGGCCAGACGACCGCACUGUCCCCGCUCCCAAUAUUAAUUGAUAAACCCGAGAAUUGAGUGUACGAAACAUAUCUAGCAUACCAGUCUGAAACUCUGGAGCCAAUCUUGAAAAGUGAGCAAGAAGUUUACCAUAAUCAUCCAAUGUUUCUAACAACGUAACAGAGGACCGAACAAUAUGUAAUGAUUGUUUUCCAAACGAAACCGUAGCAGUACAGUCCUCUGAAACUUUUACAUGGUGAACCCUAUGAUUUUCAUCUUCUUUUUCUGCUUCAGGAGAUAAUAGUCGCGUCCAUUCUACGGGAGUAUUACCGGAGCAUUCAAACACGCGAUUAGCUAGAUCUUGACAGGAUGGUUCAACAGGUAUCGCUUCCCAUAGCUCCCUUUCAAAGCUUGAUGCCAAUUUCUGAGUAGAAUAUCGUUGAAAAUUUUUAAACCAGUCCAGUAAUUGCCUCAUUAUAGUUGGAAUAAAUGAGCUUUGUGUGAUUCCGCAAAGACUUUCAAGCUCAUUAUGAAAAAUUAUGUGUAAAGAAAAAAGGUAUAUAACAUUAUUAGGAGGAUAAGUAUCCAAGACUCGAAAUCGAAGAUUAUUAAUAGUUGUCACUUGUUGUGUAACAACAUCGGAACUCGUGGCCAUUAAAUCAUUAAGAAUCACAGAUAGGUGAUAUUGUUUAGUAUCUUUUUUCGAUAAAAUAUCUAUUAAAACUUUUAUUUGGCUGCGAAUGCGACGCAGACAUUCCAAUGAUGAAAAAUAUAUAUUCGUCAACAUUUCUGCAAAUUCCGUGAUGCUCAUGCUCUGAAAAGGAUUCGCCGCUGAUGAACUUCUUCUAGAGCUAUCUGAAAGACUAGAAAGGCUGGCUGCACUCAAGCUGCGACGUAAAUCAGAGGAUUUACGAACACUGCGCAUCUCUACACCAUCGGUAAAAUACUGUUGUGCUAAAUUUUCAAAUGCCUCAAAUACAGCAGUCUUGUAAAGAGUCAAUGCAGCCUGCAAACUGUCCGUUAAAGUAAGACAGUCGAUGCAAACGUCCACUUCAUGAAGAAAGUCAGCGUCAAAUUCCAUGGCUGAAGGAAGUGAUUUCGUUACCGAAGGUAUCAACCUGUUCUUAGACAAAUAAAUAUCUUUGAGUUCAUUGGAGUCAAGGAUAGUAGAAAAUUUGUGCAUGUCAGACGUUAAAAAUUUAGAAAACUGUUGAACAACACUUUGGGAUACAGUAUGGUAAAGAACCUUAUGCUCCUCUCUUAAACUUUUAACCGAUGGAAGGGAUAGCAAAUCAACAUUUAAUUCCGUAGAUUUCUUCUUUAGUUGGGUUACAAUGGAGUUUAUUCCAUUUAUAGCCUCGAGGAAUCUCUGGUCUUUAACGUCUUCAGAUACCUUCUUAUGUUCACUGUAAAUAUCUUCUAAAGUUUGAACAACUUUUUUCAGCUGGGUGAGCUGAUGACAAGCUAAUUCUUCAGAAGAAAUAGCGUCCAUAUGCCGAUCGCACAUCACGUUGACUUCCGUAAGUUUUUCGAGCAAGUGUUUUGUCUCCUCCACAUUGUCCCUAGUUUCUUUUUUUAGUUGCUU